CACCUGCAGGGAAACAGCAGUUCACUUUCAUUACUAACAAUCCUUCAAACUGGAAGUACGUCUGCCUGACUUCAGCUCUUUCCCUUCGAUUACCUCAAGUUUGGAGAAAACAGAAAAAAGGAUGAAGAAACCAGAUGAAGAAAUGGAAACUAGAAGCAGAGAUGGACUUUGGCUGUGGAGUCUCUGCAGAAUGAUGGACUUCAGGUGGAUUGGAGAUGACCUUUGACCUUCCCCAGAGUGAUGGGCAGCUGCGGUCACUGUGACUGCCAGAGCAGGAAUGGCUUAAAGCAGCAGAAGAGAAAUCCUGACUGACCCACUGCCUUCGGUUCCGGUCCGGUUUCAGACGAUGCCGACGCCAUAAGCACACAGGGAGGUCUGGAGAAGAAGGGCAUUAUGGGGGAAAUGAACACCAACAGUUUGGGUUGUUUGGCCCCUCAGAGCAAAACAUGCAGAUUCAUUUUACAAAGAAAUAUUUUCACCAUAUUAUUCAUUCAUUUGUAACUAUUCUGGUUUCAAGCUAAUUGUUUUGCUUGCUAAGUAAAUAUUUAUUUUGCUCAUAGAAGUAAAGAUUCUGAAAGGAAUAUUAUCCCAAAGGGGAACAUUUACUCGAGUCGAGCAAAUCUCAAUCUCGUAAUCUGUUGAUGACAAUGACAAAUAAAUCUUAUCUUAUCUUAUUUAGCUCUGGAUAAAUAAAGUAUUUUUAAAUCAAAGAUCUGAAAAAAGUUCAUCAACUUUUCUGGGUCAUAAAUGUGUUUAAACUGGAAACGUGGCAGUCUGGACCCAUUCUGCAUGUUUGAAAGCCUCUGGGACCGGAAAACAGAUGAGCUCAGCAGAACCUCCAUCUGACCCACUGACGUCAUGUGAGACUGGCUCGGAACCGCCGGGCCGGGCCGGGCCGGGCCGGGUCCAGGAGGAGGAGGCUUAAUAACCUGACAGAAAAUCAUACUGAUAAAAAGCAGAAGCCGUUUUCCUCCGGGUCAGCCCGCAGAACAUUUCAGGUCCAGUUUCUGACCUUAAACAGAACCAGAACGUCGCAGCGGGUCAACCAGAACCAUCCCCUCCUUCAUUUCCGGUGGAGCCGCUAUCCGGCGAACCCGAACCCAACAGCUGAAGACGGGCUCGUUUUUCAGACUCAUGUUUUCACCAUGUUACUCAUUUAUGUCAACUUCAAACUUACAUUUUAGUUAGCAACCCAAAUCUUUAGCUUUAAGCUACAUAUUUAGCUCCAAAGCACAUUAGGCCAGCAAGCUAAAUAUUGUUAGCAAGCUAAAUAUUUAGCUUUAAAUAUUUUUCCCUGAGCUGGCUAAAUAUUAAACUUGUAGCUAAAUAUAUUUGCUAACAAGCUAAAUACUUAACUAGCAAGCCAAAUAUUUAGUUUGAACCUAAGUUUUUUUGCUUGAAAGCUAAACAUUUUACUCUCAUAUUUAGCUCAGAGUUAAAAAUUUAGUUUGUCAACAAAAUGUUUAGAUUGAAACUGUGAAAUUUAAUAUUUAUCAAAGGACGAUAACAUGGAGAAAGAAUGAAAGAAUGUGACAGGCUAAAUAAGUUUGCGGAAGUUAAUUUUCUCCUGCUGUACAGUCGG
Molecule: long non-coding RNA, 1582 nt
Organism: Xiphophorus hellerii (green swordtail)
Lineage: Eukaryota; Metazoa; Chordata; Actinopteri; Cyprinodontiformes; Poeciliidae
Exons: 3
Source: RefSeq, a predicted model, not a curated record